GACGAACGCUGGCGGCGUGCCUAAUACAUGCAAGUAGAACGCUGAAGCGAGGAGCUUGCUCUUCUUGGAUGAGUUGCGAACGGGUGAGUAACGCGUAGGUAACCUGCCUUGUAGCGGGGGAUAACUAUUGGAAACGAUAGCUAAUACCGCAUAACAAUGGAUGACACAUGUCAUUUAUUUGAAAGGGGCAAUUGCUCCACUACAAGAUGGACCUGCGUUGGAUUGGCUAGUAGGUGAGGUAAGGGCUCACCUAGGCGACGAUACAUAGCCGACCUGAGAGGGUGGUCGGCCACCCUGGGAAUGGGACACGGCCCAGACUCCUGCGGGAGGCAGCAGUAGGGAAUCUUCGGCAAUGGGGGCAACCCUGACCGAGCAACGCCGCGUGAGUGAAGGAGGUUUUCGGAUCGUAAAGCUCUGUUGUAAGUCAAGAACGGGUGUGAGAGUGGAAAGUUCACACUGUGACGGUAGCUGACCAGAAAGGGACGGCUAACUACGUG
This 497-nucleotide ribosomal RNA is filed under the name uncultured bacterium. RNAcentral describes it as "partial 16S ribosomal RNA". It matches the Rfam family "Bacterial small subunit ribosomal RNA", at positions 28 to 507 of the family's 1533-position model. The record is from RNAcentral.